AUUGAACGCUGGCGGCAGGCUUAACACAUGCAAGUCGAGCGGGGGAAGGUAGCUUGCUACCGGACCUAGCGGCGGACGGGUGAGUAAUGCUUAGGAAUCUGCCUAUUAGUGGGGGACAACAUCUCGAAAGGGAUGCUAAUACCGCAUACGUCCUACGGGAGAAAGCAGGGGAUCUUCGGACCUUGCGCUAAUAGAUGAGCCUAAGUCGGAUUAGCUAGUUGGUGGGGUAAAGGCCUACCAAGGCGACGAUCUGUAGCGGGUCUGAGAGGAUGAUCCGCCACACUGGGACUGAGACACGGCCCAGACUCCUACGGGAGGCAGCAGUGGGGAAUAUUGGACAAUGGGGGGAACCCUGUUCCAGCCAUGCCGCGUGUGUGAAGGAGGCCUUAUGGUUGUAAAGCACUUUAAGCGAGGAGGAGGCUACUCUAGUUAAUACCUAGGGAUAGUGGACGUUACUCGCAGAAUAAGCACCGGCUAACUCUGUGCCAGCCGCCGCCGUAA
This 501-nucleotide ribosomal RNA is filed under the name uncultured bacterium. RNAcentral describes it as "partial 16S ribosomal RNA". It matches the Rfam family "Bacterial small subunit ribosomal RNA", at positions 30 to 523 of the family's 1533-position model. The record is from RNAcentral.